GACGAACGCUGGCGGCGUGCUUAACACAUGCAAGUCGAACGGAAAGGCCCUGCUUUUGUGGGGUGCUCGAGUGGCGAACGGGUGAGUAACACGUGAGUAACCUGCCCUUGACUUUGGGAUAACUUCAGAAAACUGGGGCUAAUACCGGAUAGGAGCUCCUGCUGCAUGGUGGGGGUUGGAAAGUUUCGGCGGUUGGGGAUGGACUCGCGGCUUAUCAGCUUGUUGGUGGGGUAGUGGCUUACCAAGGCUUUGACGGGUAGCCGGCCUGAGAGGGUGACCGGCCACAUUGGGACUGAGAUACGGCCCAGACUCCUACAGGAGGCAGCAGUGGGGAAUAUUGCACAAUGGGCGGAAGCCUGAUGCAGCAACGCCGCGUGCGGGAUGACGGCCUUCGGGUUGUAAACCGCUUUCGCCUGUGACGAAGCGUGAGUGACGGUAAUGGGUAAAGAAGCACCGGCUAACUACGUG
Molecule: ribosomal RNA, 468 nt
Filed under: uncultured bacterium
Lineage: Bacteria
Description: partial 16S ribosomal RNA
Rfam family: Bacterial small subunit ribosomal RNA
Source: RNAcentral